UCCUGUUGGUCUUUUAUUUUUUCCUUCAUGGUGGAAAUGGGCUUCCAUAAUAACUUGCAAAAAGGAAAAAAAUAAAUUCUGGUCAGGAGUAUGUAAACAUGGCAUGAAACUUUUUGCCUUUGGUCUGGUCUUCAAACUUUCUCGCCCUUUUCCCCCCCCUCACAGAUCUGCUGUGUAUAACACUGCAUGUGGCAGUAUUUUCUUCUUUUCAGACACUGUCUUCACAACAUUUGCCAGGUAAUCAAAAAGCUCCCACACAAAUGGAGCUCUCCGGCAGUAUGCAGUGUAAUGUCCCAGUCCAUCUUUGGUCAAGCUUCCCCUGAAAGCGACGACUGCUCUCAAAGUAAAUUUUUUUCCUUGCAGAACCAUAGUGGAGGGAAAUUCACUCAAAGCAAAUUCAGUUGAAUUUGGAAGGUCUGUGUCAAUCCAUGCUAUUUCUCCGAUAUUGUAGUUGUGAGUAACGGUUCCUGCACAGAGAGCAUUUCCUGAAGUGCUGGCUCCUGUUUUUAAUUCUGCUGGACAUUCUGAUUCAUUCUGCAGUGGUCUGAGGCAGGGAGACUGUGGAAGGAAGAGUCAUUUUUCUAUGGAAGUGUGAAGCUGAGCCAUACCAGAAUUCUUCAGGACAGAAAUGUCUGGUGAAACAAAUGUGGCAAUAUUGCACUGUGCAUCGAUUUGAUGAUGAAUCUGCAUGGAGCCAUUCAGUGCAGGAACUCAAGUAUGAAGUCCUCUUCCUCUUUUUGGGUGGAAGAAUUUGUCCUCUCCAGUUUUCAACCACGUUUUCAUCUGCUGUGGAAAGAGCAAAUCCGCAUAUUUCCUUCGAUGAAGGAAAGGUGCCAAGAAAUGAAGCGAUCCACUCGAAUGGGCAAGUUCUCAUGUUUGAACAGGCCAUGUUUUACAUUUUUGAAUUUGGCUUCAACAUUGGCAGAGCUUGCUGUGAGACUGGUGCUUUUGAAGAGGGGAACCAUUAUUCCUGUCCACAGUGUCUCGUAGGUCAGUCUGGAUGUCAUUACAUGGAUCCACUUGAUGAACUUCCUUUGUGUCUUCAUCUGGAAUUAUGAUGGAGUCUUCUGCAAUCUGGGUUUUCAGGCAGUCCCACUGGCAGACCAUCUUUAUGCAGUGGGCAACAUCAACCCUGAUAUAACAGGGAGGAAGUUUUGCAGACUGGUUCCCAAGUAGCACAUGGAAGCAUUCAUCAAUGUAUGAUUUCAGGUUAGGACAAGGAGUGAAGGCCUUCACCAGAGCACCAAGAAUAGCCAGGGAAAAGUCACUCACAGCUUCUUUUGAACACCUUGGUAUAAGAAGAUGUGGCCAGAUGUACCAUUUGGUCUUGCCAGUUUUCUGACAACUGAACCAGUUGCAUCAAAGCAAACUACUGAGGGACAUUUUUUGGUUGCCAGGUUUGGAAGGUGACUUGGCUCGGGAUCUCCAAUAUCCAUCAACUCUGAUGCCUUUGCUGACCUCCAUACAGAUGGUUCCAUCCUGCCCUCACACAACUCUUCUGAAAUCUGUGCACGAAGGGUUCCUGACAUGAAUCUUUUGGAUUGGCCAGUGUGCAGGGAGAUGUGGGCGAGAUGCUUUAUACGUGUCCAGAACUGCUGCCGUCGUGUUUACAGAGAGAAAACUACAGCAGGUUGUUAAUGU
Molecule: RNA transcript, 1641 nt
Organism: Gambusia affinis (western mosquitofish)
Lineage: Eukaryota; Metazoa; Chordata; Actinopteri; Cyprinodontiformes; Poeciliidae
Exons: 8
Source: RefSeq, a predicted model, not a curated record